AUGGAGACGAAAGUGGCAUGUAUGUCAAGAACAAUAGUCACAUUUCAAAUCCAUUUAGCACCCACUCGCAUACACUGGUAUUCAAAGAAGACAAGUUACUUCCAUUACAAAAUGACACUUGCUUCUGCAUGUGCUUGUCCAAAUAAGAGCAGAAACCCUGGCCUAAACCAAACAACACCAUGUGAAACAAGUCUGUCCUCAUCUACUGAUUCCAACAUCUACUCUGAAAUUUACAUUAGUUCCAUCGUUUUGUCCAGGAAAUCCAAUUUUGCCCCCAUUCAAGAUAUUCACACUUCUCUAACAAAACACAAGCAAAAUAUUGAAGAGAUCAAGACUGGGAAGUAA
Molecule: ribosomal RNA, 345 nt
Filed under: Triticum aestivum (bread wheat)
Lineage: Eukaryota; Viridiplantae; Streptophyta; Magnoliopsida; Poales; Poaceae
Description: partial small subunit ribosomal RNA
Source: RNAcentral